GUACUAAUGAAGAGUCCCAAAUCAGGCGAACGAAAUAGCUGUCCAGUAC
RNAcentral lists this non-coding RNA (49 nucleotides) under Trichobilharzia regenti. The record is from RNAcentral. Lineage: Eukaryota; Metazoa; Platyhelminthes; Trematoda; Strigeidida; Schistosomatidae.